This is a long non-coding RNA of Micropterus dolomieu (smallmouth bass), 216 nucleotides long. RefSeq lists it as uncharacterized. The transcript has 3 exons. NCBI's taxonomy places the organism in Eukaryota, Metazoa, Chordata, Actinopteri, Centrarchiformes, Centrarchidae. The record is from RefSeq and is a predicted model, not a curated record.
AUGCCCAUAAUCACCUGACUAAAAAGCAGCUUUGAUAUUGGAUCAAACAGAGUAUUGAGGGGCACUACAGCUGAGGUGUUUGUUGAGUUCAUCGCUUUACAAAUGUUGAACCUAUGCAGCCAAUUCUACUGCAAACUUGAGAGAUACACACCACAACUGAUUGCCCUGUACAGGCAGAAGGCCAAUAGAGCAGAAGCCCUGCAGAGAUCCUCAGGA